UAAGCUGUUUAACAUGUUGAAGGGUGGGUUGUGUGAGCCAAGAGUGGCACUUUACCGACAAGGAUUGAUUUUCUUUCAGAAGCGGAAGCAUUAUCACCACCUCAGAAACCAUCAGAAUGCAAUUGUCAGUAAUCUUUGUCAGAUAAGAGAUGCUUGGCUCAGUUGCCCUGGGUAUAGCAUUGAGGAGAAGCUUCAAGUGCUGAACAUUAAGAAGAAUGAGAAGAUUUUAAUGUAUGAGAAAAUGGAAGAACUGGAAAGUGAUGGAUCCGAGAGAGAGGAGUUCAGUGAUACUUUAUGGGGCAAAAGAACAAAAGAUCGUAAUCUUGGACAGAAUAUGGGCUAUUCUGGAUACGAGAUAGGGUCAGCCUUGGAUACAUCAUCUAGACAAAUGGCUUUGGAAGCUACGAGAUACAAAAGGAAGAACCUAAAAGGAACUCUCAAGGUAGGUGGAACAAAGGGUUCUGCCACUAAAGGAAGANCCUUUUUAGUCUUUUCAUUUCUCAAUCCAACGGCAAUGCCACCAUCCACGUCAUCUUCAUCUUCAUCUUCUUCGUCCUCCUUUUUUCCCCUUUUUUUCUUGCAUAGUAUAAUCUACUUUGCUCUUUCCAAACACCCGCAUAGCAUAGUAUAACCGCCUCUUUCUCUUAGGGUUUUCUUUCUCUUUCCCUCACAUUAGCUACAAGGAAUUUUGGGUCGCCGUUUUAUUCCCUUUCCGUUUCUUGCUUUUGGGUUCAUCCGUUCUCAAGGUAAUUUCUUCUAAUUCAUCUGUGAUUUUUUUCUCUUUACACUUAUUAUGUGAUAUAUGUGUAUGGGUGUGUUUAUUUUUGUUUUUGCGAUGUGGGUUUUUGAUUUUUUGUGUUUUCUUGUUAUGGGUAUGGAGAAUUUCUGAAUUUUUUGCGUUUUGGUUGAUUUUUUAUUUUUAGGGUUUUGAAUUUGGAUUGGAAGGGGGUCGGUUUAUUUGUUUGGGCGUUGGUUUUAUGUUGAAUGGUGAUCGAAAAGGGAAGCUUUAAGGCAUCACGAAUUGAUUCAGAAUUUUCUCCUCUUAGUAGGGACAGUAUGUCGAGUGAGGAUGAGGAGUUUCAGAGAAGAAACGGAGGUGAAGUUGAAUCUAAUGGCGAGGAUGAUGAUGAUGAUUUCGAUGAUUGUGAUUCAGGGGCGGGAUCAGACGACUUUGAUUUGUUGGAAUUAGGGGAGUCUAAGGAGGAGUUUUGUCAAAUUGGGGAUCAAACAUGUAGCAUUCCUUUUGAAUUGUAUGAUCUUUCGGGGUUGGGUGAUGUGUUGUCAUUGGAUGUUUGGAAUGAGGUGUUGUCUGAGGAAGAAAGGUUUAAUCUUGCUCAGUACCUUCCUGAUAUGAACCAGGAAACGUUUAUGCAAACGUUGAAAGACCUCCUCACGGGUAAUAAUAUGCAUUUUGGAAGUCCCCUUGAUAAGCUGUUUAACAUGUUGAAGGGUGGGUUGUGUGAGCCAAGAGUGGCACUUUACCGACAAGGAUUGAUUUUCUUUCAGAAGCGGAAGCAUUAUCACCACCUCAGAAACCAUCAGAAUGCAAUUGUCAGUAAUCUUUGUCAGAUAAGAGAUGCUUGGCUCAGUUGCCCUGGGUAUAGCAUUGAGGAGAAGCUUCAAGUGCUGAACAUUAAGAAGAAUGAGAAGAUUUUAAUGUA
RNAcentral lists this long non-coding RNA (1661 nucleotides) under Solanum pimpinellifolium. RNAcentral describes it as "long non-coding RNA (SPIM_LNC000285)". Lineage: Eukaryota; Viridiplantae; Streptophyta; Magnoliopsida; Solanales; Solanaceae. The record is from RNAcentral.